This 484-nucleotide ribosomal RNA is filed under the name uncultured bacterium. RNAcentral's name for it is "partial 16S ribosomal RNA". It matches the Rfam family "Bacterial small subunit ribosomal RNA", at positions 30 to 507 of the family's 1533-position model. The record is from RNAcentral.
AUUGAACGCUGGCGGCAUGCUUUACACAUGCAAGUCGAACGGCAGCGCGGGCUUCGGCCUGGCGGCGAGUGGCGAACGGGUGAGUAAUACAUCGGAACGUGCCCAGCUGUGGGGGAUAGCUCGGCGAAAGCCGGAUUAAUACCGCAUACGACCUGAUGGUGAAAGCGGGGGAUCUUUGGACCUCUCGCUCUUGUGGGGGCCGAUGGCAGAUUAGCUAGUUGGUGGGGUAAAGGCCUACCAAGGCGACGAUCUGUAGCUGGUCUGAGAGGACGACCAGCCACACUGGGACUGAGACACGGCCCAGACUCCUACGGGAGGCAGCAGUGGGGAAUUUUGGACAAUGGGCGAAAGCCUGAUCCAGCAAUGCCGCGUGUGUGAUGAAGGCCUUCGGGUUGUAAAGCACUUUUGGCGGGAACGAAAAGGACUGUGCCAAUACCACGGUUCGAUGACGGUACCCGCAGAAUAAGCACCGGCUAACUACGUG